RNAcentral lists this ribosomal RNA (459 nucleotides) under uncultured bacterium. RNAcentral's name for it is "partial 16S ribosomal RNA". It matches the Rfam family "Bacterial small subunit ribosomal RNA", at positions 338 to 795 of the family's 1533-position model. The record is from RNAcentral.
CCUACGGGAGGCAGCAGUGAGGAAUAUUGGUCAAUGGUCGGGAGACUGAACCAGCCAAGCCGCGUGAGGGAUGAAGGUACAGAGUAUCGUAAACCUCUUUUGUCAGGGAACAAAGGCGGGGACGCGUCCCCGGAUGAGUGUACCUGAAGAAAAAGCAUCGGCUAACUCCGUGCCAGCAGCCGCGGUAAUACGGAGGAUGCGAGCGUUAUCCGGAUUUAUUGGGUUUAAAGGGUGCGCAGGCGGUCUGUUAAGUCAGCGGUAAAAGCCGGGGGCUCAACCCCGGCCCGCCGUUGAGACUGGCAGUCUCGAGUUGGAGAGAGGUAUGCGGAAUGCGCGGUGUAGCGGUGAAAUGCAUAGAUAUCGCGCAGAACUCCGAUUGCGAAGGCAGCAUGCCGGCUCCACACUGACGCUGAGGCACGAAAGCGUGGGUAUCGAACAGGAUUAGAUACCCCUGUAGUC